AACGAACGCUGGCGGCAUGCCUAACACAUGCAAGUCGAACGAGACCUUCGGGUCUAGUGGCGCACGGGUGCGUAACGCGUGGGAACCUGCCCUUAGGUUCGGAAUAACUCCCCGAAAGGGGUGCUAAUACCGGAUAAUGUCUUCGGACCAAAGAGUUAUCGCCUUUGGAUGGGCCCGCGUUGGAUUAGCUAGUUGGUAGGGUAAAAGCCUACCAAGGCGACGAUCCAUAGCUGGUCUGAGAGGAUGAUCAGCCACACUGGGACUGAGACACGGCCCAGACUCCUACGGGAGGCAGCAGUGGGGAAUAGUGGACAAUGGGCGAAAGCCUGAUCCAGCAAUGCCGCGUGAGUGAUGAAGGCCUUAGGGUUGUAAAGCUCUUUUACCCGGGAUGAUAAUGACAGUACCGGGAGAAUAAGCUACGGCUAACUCCGGG
This 433-nucleotide ribosomal RNA is filed under the name uncultured bacterium. Its description in RNAcentral is "partial 16S ribosomal RNA". It matches the Rfam family "Bacterial small subunit ribosomal RNA", at positions 29 to 507 of the family's 1533-position model. The record is from RNAcentral.